Molecule: long non-coding RNA, 549 nt
Filed under: Ficedula albicollis (Collared flycatcher)
Lineage: Eukaryota; Metazoa; Chordata; Aves; Passeriformes; Muscicapidae
Description: lncRNA (ENSFALG00000027459.1)
Source: RNAcentral
CAGGUGAAAUUUAGAGAGGUAUAAAAGGUGUCCUGUUAUUUAGAAGAUUGGUCUCUUUAAUGCUUGCCUAAAUGUAACUAGAUUUCACAAGUUUGCCCUAUUUUCUCAAAAGUAGAAACGGUAAUGUGGAGUUGAGUGUAAUAAUGGUGUUCUCAAGAGCAGAAGGUGCCAUAUAAUUUAAAGUCUUAAGAGCUGCUGUGUCUUGUCUUAGGGUUUCACUAUACCACUAUGAACCACACCAAGCAAAGAGAAAGAAAGCAACUUACAUCAGGGAAGGACUAUUGGGCCUGGAUGGCCAUGUCUCAAGGAGCAGCUCUCUCAGUUUGAGGCUUCUUGGUCAACUUUUCCAUCUGUCUCUGUGGGUUUCUGCUGCUGGUAACAGUUGAAAUUUGGAGCUUGAGUGGACACUUCAGAGAGAAGAAGACUGAGCUUCUUUCUAGAGAAUAUUAUUGCAAUUUUAGUUUGGAGUGUUUUAACCAACAGUUGUAAAACUGCCAGCUACAGCACACGUUGAUUUUUGUUCAGCUCAAGGUCACUGUGAAUAUGUAU